RNAcentral lists this unclassified non-coding RNA (407 nucleotides) under Hevea brasiliensis (rubber tree). The record is from RNAcentral. Lineage: Eukaryota; Viridiplantae; Streptophyta; Magnoliopsida; Malpighiales; Euphorbiaceae.
ACAAACAAGCUUUAUGUACCCAAGGUAGGGUAGUGGUCUAUAAACUAACCUCAGAUCCAUUUUAGUUGCUAACCUCUAAUGCAAAUUAGUGUUAAGAUGAAAAAUACUUGCUUUGUUGGAGUCCAAUUUUUGCAUAAAACAAUUAGAAGAUGUGUCCUGGCAGUAAUUGUGACAUGGUCAAAGUAAAACUGCUGGUUAUAUUAGCUCCUUGAAACUAAGUUUUGUGUUGCAUUUCUGGGGUUAGAGUUUGCCUAUAUAUGUUGCAGCCUGCCAAGUGCCAACCCUCAACAUACGCAAAACAACAGGUUACAAUUUUAAAUUAAUUAAGGACCUUUGUUUUUAACUUGAGCAUAAUAUUCCUGGAACAGGGCCAUGCAGAUGGGCCAAGUGUACAUAGUCAAAAUUUG